UAGUUUGCAAAACGAGACACGCGCCUGCCGAUAGCGAAUCGAGUGAGUCGAUGCAGGUGGUCGUCGUCCAUGUCAGAUAUUAAAAUCGCGCUGAAAACGGCAACGUCAAAUAGCCAUGUAUUCGCCAAGUAUAAACUCCCGUCGCGAUCGACAGCUGAUUUCAUUGCGUUACAUAUAUGUGUGUGUGUGUGUGUAUAUAUAUAUUUAUGUAUCGACUGCGGUGCUGACGAAGACUCGAUCAUUCCCCUCGUCGAUCGCCACGUAGGGAUAAGGAAACCAAUAACAACCAGAAUAUGAUGCAACAACGAACAACAAUCGAGACGCCGACGGCCACGUAGCACUUUGUACACUCGGCUUCCAUACGUGAACACGUGGCACCGUGCUACGCAGCAGCACCAAUAUCUCUGUUCAAGCGUGGGUCACGACGACGACGGCAACAGCACCGAUAGCGUAUCUCAUUUUAUUACACGUACGCACGUAUAUAUGCCUGUGGUAGGAUAAGCUCAAGCGACGGAAAAAGAAUUUUUAAAACUAA
Neodiprion fabricii is the source of this 535-nucleotide long non-coding RNA. RefSeq lists it as uncharacterized. The record is from RefSeq and is a predicted model, not a curated record. NCBI's taxonomy places the organism in Eukaryota, Metazoa, Arthropoda, Insecta, Hymenoptera, Diprionidae. The transcript has 2 exons.